UUGAACGCUGGCGGCAUGCUUUACACAUGCAAGUCGAACGGUAACAGGGAGCUUGCUCCGCUGACGAGUGGCGAACGGGUGAGUAAUGCAUCGGAACGUGCCUAUUUGUGGGGGAUAACGUAGCGAAAGUUACGCUAAUACCGCAUACGCCCUGAGGGGGAAAGCGGGGGACCGUAAGGCCUCGCGCGAUUGGAGCGGCCGAUGUUCGAUUAGCUAGUUGGUGGGGUAAAGGCCUACCAAGGCGACGAUCGAUAGCUGGUCUGAGAGGACGACCAGCCACACUGGAACUGAGACACGGUCCAGACUCCUACGGGAGGCAGCAGUGGGGAAUUUUGGACAAUGGGGGAAACCCUGAUCCAGCCAUUCCGCGUGAGUGAAGAAGGCCUUCGGGUUGUAAAGCUCUUUCAGGAGGGAAGAAACGGUUACGGAUAAUACCUGUGACUAAUGACGGUACCUUCAGAAGAAGCACCGGCUAACUACGU
Molecule: ribosomal RNA, 482 nt
Filed under: uncultured bacterium
Lineage: Bacteria
Description: bacterial SSU rRNA
Rfam family: Bacterial small subunit ribosomal RNA
Source: RNAcentral